GCAGCUGCAAGUCCAGGAUCAUAGAGUGUGCUUUGCAGAGUGACACAUACAUGGACGGCAAUCCCUGUAGCCACAGUUCUCUAUUGUUUCCAGGCCUGUUGCUGAUAGAAAAGAGCUUAACUCAUGAAAGGAAAGGUACAUUAAAAAGUGAAGUAAGAAGUAGACCUUAGCUCAGACUGCACAUUCAAGCCCUAGCAUCUCAGGUGGCGGAACUGAGAAAGAUCUUUUGCUCAACAGCUGUGUUCAAGACCUGUUGACAGCACUUGAGAGAAAGCGAGGUGAGGAG
Hemicordylus capensis (graceful crag lizard) is the source of this 286-nucleotide long non-coding RNA. RefSeq lists it as uncharacterized. The record is from RefSeq and is a predicted model, not a curated record. Lineage: Eukaryota; Metazoa; Chordata; Lepidosauria; Squamata; Cordylidae. The transcript has 3 exons.